Molecule: long non-coding RNA, 2563 nt
Organism: Oncorhynchus mykiss (rainbow trout)
Lineage: Eukaryota; Metazoa; Chordata; Actinopteri; Salmoniformes; Salmonidae
Source: Ensembl
GAGCAUCUCUCAGUCCAGCACAUGGGCACCAGGAGCACACAUUUCUCCUAGUAGUGAGGUUUGUCCUGGGCCUCGUCCGGACUACCAUGACUGACCUCCUGGCCAACCUGAGUGUUCCAUGGGGCACACAGGCGAUUGUGUGCCCCAACCUGACAGCAGCAGCCCUGGUUGUGCCGGGGUCAGGCAAGGGUCUGGCCCCCUUCUGCACCUUCUGCUGCUGUGGCCUGCUGAACCGUACCCUGGCCGUGGUGUUUAUGGUCAGUCUGGCCUUCGCCAUAGUGGUGGGCAACGUGGUCACGCUCACCGUCUUCAUGCAGACAAGACAGGUCCGUACACCACAGGGAUACCUCAAAGGUAUAAUCGGUGACUGGAGAAACACUUUCACAGAGAAGCAGAUUGGUAUUUUCGACACCGUCUACAGCUACCAGAUGAAAGACUGUCCCUUGACCUUCAUGUGGGAGUGUCCUCCUGAGUCCUGUGGGGAAGGAGGAGGAGGACAGGCCUCGGGAUCAGGAUAGGGACCUUAUCCUCCAUGACGCCGGAGAUUGAUGGAUACGCUUCAUACAAGUCCUGGAAUUCUCUCACUUUUUGUGAAUGUACAUAUAAUGUACACAACCCAAUAUAGUAAAACUAUAUAAUAAAAUUGAUAUGCAAAUAUAACAAAAAUAUUGUGUGACCUAUUUGUUGUUGUAGUUGGGUUUUUCCAACUCUAAAAAAAUCUAAAUGUUACAGUUAACUGCACUAGCUAGAUGAAGGGACACGAGGGGGACAUUUAACUCCCUGACAUUGACACAUUGGAAAACCUCCCAGUUUGUGGCAGUGCAUCAAGCAGAAGGGAUGAUAUAUUAACUCCAGAAAGGCUGACGUGUACAUAAAAAGCUGCUGUUACAUCAGUCACAUAGCUUGACUCCGAACAACCUGUCAGCUCAUGGGAACAUGAUGAGGAAGUUAUGCGAACACAUUAACAAAAGGUCACAAUCCUCCCGAUCACAGUUUAUAUCAAUGAGUGGCAGUGUGUCAAGCUGAUCCAAUGAGUGGCAGUGUGUCAAGCUGAUCCAAUGAGUGUCCCCUCAGUAACUAAUGACAUCAAUCUUCAUCUGUUGCUCUCAGACUCCGGCUGCUUGAUUAGUACUUACACGGCAAGACAAGUGGUGCUUCAGAGAGUACAUACCUGGCAGGAAUGUGUUUAUCAGGGGAAGGGGCCAGAGCUAGAGAACUGCACCUGGCCACCCAGAGGGUGGCACGUGGUUGUGUUGCCAGACUGACUUCACUGUGGAGACUGACUUCCCUGUGGAGACCUGCUGCCGCCCUCAUACACCAUCCAAAUAUAACUCUGAAUCUAUAGUUCAGAAUAGAUGGGUCUUUGGAUGUAUAUACACUACAUGUGGACACCUGCUCAAACAUUUCAUUCCAAAAUCAUGGGCAUUAAUGUUGAGUUAGUCCCCCCUUUAAUGUUAUAACAGCCUCCACUCUUCUGGGAAGGCUUUCCACUAGAUAUUGGAACAUUGCUGCGGGGACUUGCAUCCAUUCAGCCACAAGAGCAUUAGUGAGGUCAGGCACUGAUGUUGGGCGAUUAAGCCUGGCUCGCAGUCGGUGUUGGAUGGGGUUAAGGUCAGGGCUCUGUGCAGGCCAGUCAAGUUCUUCCAACCUGAUCUCGACAAACAAUUUCUGUAUGGACCUCACUUUGUGAACCGGAGCAUUGUCAUGCAGAAACAGGAAAGGGCCUUCCCCAAAUCUGCUGCCACAAAGUUGCAAGCACAGAAUCAUCUAGAAUAACAUUCUAUGCGUUAGCGUUAAGAUUUCCCUUCACUAGAACUAAGGGGCCUAGCCUGAACCAUGAAAAACAGUCCCAGACCAUUAUUCCUCCUCCACCAAACUUUACAGUUGACACUGCAUUGGGGCAGGUAGCGUUCUCCUGGAAUCCGCCAAAUCCAGAUUCGUCUGUCAGACUGCCAGAUGGGGGAGCGGGAUUCAGUUCUCCAGAGAACAUGUUUCCACUGCUCCAGAGUCCAUGGUGAUCUUUGUGUGGCUGCUUGGCCAUGGAAACCCAUUUCAUGAAGCUCCCGACAAACCGUUAUUGUGCUGAAGUUGCUUCCAGAGGCAGUUUGGAACUCGGUAGAGAGUAUUACAACCGAGGACAGACGAUUUUUACGCGCUAUACGAUUCCGCACUCGGUGGUCCCAUUCUGUGAGCUUGUGUGGCCUACCACUUCACGGCUGAGCCGUUGUUGCUCCCACUUCACAAUAACAGCACUUACAGUUGACAGGGGAAGGUCUAGCUGUUGGAAAGGUGGCAUCCUACGACAGUGCCACGUUGAAAGUCACUGAGCUUUUCAUUAAAGCCAUUCUGCUGUCAGUGUUUGUCUAUGGAGAUUGCAUGGAUGUGUGCUCCAUUUAUACACCUGUCAGCAACGGGUGUAGCUGAAAUAUCCGAAUCCAUCAACUCGAAGGGGUGUCCCCAUACUUUUGUAUAUAUAUUGUAUGUUGAAUUUUCAUUUACAUAGAUAUAUCUAUAAUGUUUUGGAUAAAUGAAUGUAAAGACAUUUAGCUAUUCUUAAUCUAAA